AUAUUUUUACCACUGGGCAGACUUUAAAACUUUAAAAGUACCCCCAGCCUAGGUGGACUCCCUGACCAUACUACGUUAAUGAAGAGUGGCAUCCAACCUGGGCUUCUUCUACCCUAAACAUUCCUAAAACACCUACUUGCUGGAGAACAUUACUUGCCAGUAGCAUUUUAGCCAAAGUCUGGAAUCCCCUCUGACAAUAAUGAGAAGUGCCCAGUCAUGAAUAUUCAUUGUAAAGUUAAUAUGCAAAUGAAGUAGUAUCAGCCCACACACCCCUGCCCACCCAAUAUUCCAUAAAUGGAGUGCCUUUAUGUACAUUUACAUGUGCCAGUUGGCUGUAAACACUACCUGUUGGAAUGUACUAAUAGGAUCUUAGGGGGUGUCCUGAGGUUGACCCCAAAUACUUUGUGGGUGAGAUCACCUGCUGAGGGAAUUCCAUGGGCCUGCUGCACUUCCUCACACUUAGCACACACUUUUCAAUUUUGUUUUGACCCCUUAAGGUCAGAGGAAAUAGGCAGACAUCUUUAUCACCUGUCGCCCCAGAUAAUCUGUCAGGAAAUGAGUGCAAUGUGAAAGCAGUCCUCACUAAGAAGUGUUCUUGGUAGCAGAACUCCAUAUCACCACGGUAACAACUCCAGGGAGGGUAAACCAAAAGUAGGUCACCUGUUGCAGCGUAAACUUCCUCUGUGUGCACAAACUUGCCUUGUCUGAGAGUGAGACAGGAAUUUGAGGGAAGAGGUUGAAAAGGGAGCAGACAGGGUGAUCCUCUGAAUUAUGGGGCCACCUCAGAGGGAACCUGAGAAGUUUUGGCACUGGUGGCAGGGCAGUGCAAACAGAAGUACUUGCAAGGGGUGCUGGAACUUGGAAGGACCAAGAGAGCAUUAGUGGUUGGAGAGGUCAGCUGACAGGAGACAUCACUUUCUACUUCUCCAGCACAGCCACUGAAGAGGCUGCUCUAAAUUCUCAAAGGGAAAGACUUGGAAGCUGGCACCAACAGACACACAAAGACCCCCAGUCUGGAGGAAAAGGGUGGAUUUACUGGGAACUUAGUAUGGAGACAGGAGACAGACUGAUGGCAGCUGGGGUGACCAUCAUCAUGCUGCAUGUUCUAUAGGCAUUCUGCUCACCCAUGAAAGUUGAAUUGACUGGCUUCAAUGCAGCAAAGCUGGAGAGUCUGUCACAUGGGAUCUACGUACAUCAUGCAUGCCUACAUCAAUGAAACCAACUGUCAAGGAUAUUCCAAACAGUUCCACCAAGACAACAAACCAAAGCUUUCAUGUAAUCUUUGUAUUUCACCAACUAGCCACAGAUUGUUGCCAGUGUUUUAUGAUCAAACUUAAGAUAUUAAUUUAAUUCCUAUUUGUCAUAUUGUCCUAUUUCCUCCACUUUCGAAAACAAAAAUCCUAAAAUACUGAAG
This is a long non-coding RNA of Acanthaster planci (crown-of-thorns starfish), 1414 nucleotides long. The record is from RefSeq and is a predicted model, not a curated record. NCBI's taxonomy places the organism in Eukaryota, Metazoa, Echinodermata, Asteroidea, Valvatida, Acanthasteridae.